AUACGUAGGUGGCAAGCGUUGUCCGGAAUUAUUGGGCGUAAAGCGCAUGUAGGCGGUUUGGUAAGUCGGUCGUGAAAAUGCGGUGCUUAACGCCGUAUGGCGAUUGAAACUGCUGAACUUGAGGGCAGGAGAGGAAAGGGGAACUCCCGGUGUAGCGGUGAAAUGCGUUGCUAUUGGGAAGAACACCUGUGGCUAAGGCGCCGUUCUGAAAUGUGUAUGACGUCAAGAUGCGAAAGCCAGGGUAGCGAAGGGGAUUAGAUACACCGGUAGUUUUGGCCGUAAACGAAAGUUACGAGUUGUGGUAGGUUUCGCCUCCUUCCGUGGCGGAGUUAUCGAAAUAAGUACACCGCCUGGGGCGUACGGCCGCAAGGCUUAAACUCAAAGGAAUUGACGGGG
RNAcentral lists this ribosomal RNA (396 nucleotides) under uncultured bacterium. RNAcentral describes it as "partial 16S ribosomal RNA". It matches the Rfam family "Bacterial small subunit ribosomal RNA", at positions 523 to 918 of the family's 1533-position model. The record is from RNAcentral.